AUUUGCCCACCUAUAUAAAUACAGAGACGGUGAAUAACCCUAUUUCAACAAACCGUGGUGUAUUCCUUUAAGACUCCCGUGAGAAGCAGAGUUGAAAGAGUGACAAAAAAGAAAACAAACAUGGGAAGGACACUCUUAAGACUCGCCUCAGAAGCAGAGUCAGACCAUACUGACACAGCACCCUCCUCUCCACGCACGGUCUUAGACUGACAUCUGGUGGUGAGUUUAUGCAAAUGCAUUGGAUUUUUUUAAUAUAUUUUUGUAAUAAAUAUAUUAUAUUAGUAAGUAUUGUUUUUAAAUCUUAAUUUAAGGAAAUCUGAGUUAUUCUACCUUAUAAAUGGACAAUGGCACACAUUUACUAGCUUCUCGGCUAGCUAGCUAUGUACUGCACAUUUUUCACUGCUGUUUGUACUGAGUCGUAUCAAAACUACUACUGUUGAUGAAAGGAUCCAUUCCCAUUAUUCGGAACCCUCUCCCAAGCAUUGAAAUGGUGAGUAAAAACAAUUUUACAACAUAGAUUACUAGCUAACUGAGUUAAUAAUUUAGUUUUUCCUAAUGGUUGGUUAGCUGGCUGGUUAGCUUGCUGUGCCACUGCUAGCUAACGUACUGUUUAUCCCUGUAUGUGUGGGGUGGUGACUGUGUAGAUUAUAACAUUAAAGUGGCCAUAUUAUGCUCAUUUUCAGGUUCAUAAUUGGAAUUUGAGAUUGUAUCAGAAUAGGUUGA
Molecule: long non-coding RNA, 723 nt
Organism: Perca fluviatilis (European perch)
Lineage: Eukaryota; Metazoa; Chordata; Actinopteri; Perciformes; Percidae
Exons: 3
Source: RefSeq, a predicted model, not a curated record